AUGGAGGAAUAGGCCCCGGAUCCUUGACUCGGGGCCUCACGGCCUGCCAGCCCAGCUCUCAGCUCCCUCCUGAGACUGUCCGGGGCCACGAAAGUGGGACACAGUUCUCGAAGUAUACCGUCAAGGUGUAGUUGCAACUCCAGUUUGUUCCCCCAGCUCAUGCUGACACUUGAAGCCCAGCUGAUUUCUCUUCAUCUCGUCAAAGUUACUGCCCCAUGGCAGGCCAACACUUGCCUCAGUGGAUGCUCAGAGCUCACUGUCAGAAAAUACAAGAACCCCCAAAGAGCAUUGAAGAGU
Long non-coding RNA from Camelus dromedarius (Arabian camel), 297 nucleotides. RefSeq lists it as uncharacterized. The transcript is spliced from 3 exons. The record is from RefSeq and is a predicted model, not a curated record. NCBI's taxonomy places the organism in Eukaryota, Metazoa, Chordata, Mammalia, Artiodactyla, Camelidae.